RNAcentral lists this ribosomal RNA (720 nucleotides) under Streptomyces sp. 10-164. RNAcentral describes it as "bacterial SSU rRNA". It matches the Rfam family "Bacterial small subunit ribosomal RNA", at positions 64 to 801 of the family's 1533-position model. The record is from RNAcentral. Lineage: Bacteria; Bacillati; Actinomycetota; Actinomycetes; Kitasatosporales; Streptomycetaceae.
GAACGAUGAAGCCCUUCGGGGUGGAUUAGUGGCGAACGGGUGAGUAACACGUGGGCAAUCUGCCCUUCACUCUGGGACAAGCCCUGGAAACGGGGUCUAAUACCGGAUGAUACUUCCACUCGCAUGGGUGGGGGUUGAAAGCUCCGGCGGUGAAGGAUGAGCCCGCGGCCUAUCAGCUUGUUGGUGAGGUAGUGGCUCACCAAGGCGACGACGGGUAGCCGGCCUGAGAGGGCGACCGGCCACACUGGGACUGAGACACGGCCCAGACUCCUACGGGAGGCAGCAGUGGGGAAUAUUGCACAAUGGGCGAAAGCCUGAUGCAGCGACGCCGCGUGAGGGAUGACGGCCUUCGGGUUGUAAACCUCUUUCAGCAGGGAAGAAGCGAAAGUGACGGUACCUGCAGAAGAAGCGCCGGCUAACUACGUGCCAGCAGCCGCGGUAAUACGUAGGGCGCAAGCGUUGUCCGGAAUUAUUGGGCGUAAAGAGCUCGUAGGCGGUCUGUCGCGUCGGAUGUGAAAGCCCGGGGCUUAACCCCGGGUCUGCAUUCGAUACGGGCAGACUAGAGUGUGGUAGGGGAGAUCGGAAUUCCUGGUGUAGCGGUGAAAUGCGCAGAUAUCAGGAGGAACACCGGUGGCGAAGGCGGAUCUCUGGGCCAUUACUGACGCUGAGGAGCGAAAGCGUGGGGAGCGAACAGGAUUAGAUACCCUGGUAGUCCACGCC